GUCCACGCUGUAAACGAUGGGCACUAGGUGUGGGGGUAUUGACCCCCUCCGUGCCGAAGCAAACGCAAUAAGUGCCCCGCCUGGGGAGUACGGCCGCAAGGCUAAAACUCAAAGGAAUUGACGGGGCCCGCACAAGCAGCGGAGCGUGUGGUUUAAUUCGACGCAACGCGAAGAACCUUACCAAGGCUUGACAUGCCGGUGGUACCGAUCCGAAAGGUGAGGGACCCUUCGGGGAGCCGGUGCAGGUGAUGCAUGGCUGUCGU
Molecule: ribosomal RNA, 263 nt
Filed under: uncultured bacterium
Lineage: Bacteria
Description: partial 16S ribosomal RNA
Rfam family: Bacterial small subunit ribosomal RNA
Source: RNAcentral